RNAcentral lists this ribosomal RNA (456 nucleotides) under uncultured fungus. RNAcentral's name for it is "SSU rRNA". It matches the Rfam family "Eukaryotic small subunit ribosomal RNA", at positions 625 to 1085 of the family's 1831-position model. The record is from RNAcentral. Lineage: Eukaryota; Fungi.
AGCUCGUAGUAGAAGCUCGGGCUCCGGCUGACCGGUCCGCCUCACCGCGUGCACUGGUUCGGCCGGGCCUUCACCUUCUGCGGAACCGCAUCCCCUUCACUGGGGGUGUCGGGGAAACAGGACGUUUACUGUGAAAAAAUUAGAGUGCUCCAGGCAGGCCUAUGCUCGAAUAGAUUAGCAUGGAAUAAUGGAAUAGGACGUGUGGUCUUAUUUCGUUGGUUUCUAGGACCGCCGUAAUGAUUAAUAGGGACAGUCGGGGGCAUCAGUAUUCAAUCGUCAGAGGUGAAAUUCUUGGAUCGAUUGAAGACUAACUACUGCGAAAGCAUUUGCCAAGGAUGUUUUCAUUUAUCAGGAACGAAAGUUAGGGGAUCGAAGACGAUCAGAUACCGUCGUAGUCUUAACCAUAAACUAUGCCGACUAGGGAUCGGACGGUGUUAUUUCUUGACCCGUUCGGCA